CAACUUCGUCCGCCGGACUCGGAAUGCCGCGAGACUUUGCGAGGGGCCUCCGUGUGUCAAAAGUAGGCCGCGGCCUAAGCCGUACCAAAAAAUAACCGCCCGAAGGCCGGGGCGCCAAGUUCGUCCAGCGGAAAAAGGCCACAAAAACGGGUGGGCUAUAGCCUUGGGGGGUGGGGCUGGCCAACUUUGUCCGCCGGAUUCGGAAAGCCGCGACACUUUGCGAGGGGCCUCCGUGUGCCAAAAAUAGGGAGUGGGCAAAGCCGCGCCCAAAAAUAACCGCCCGAAGGCCGGGGCGCCAAUUUCGUCCAGCGGAAAAAGGCCACAAAAACGGGUGGGCUAUAGCCUUGGGGGGUGGGGCUGGCCAACUUCGUCCGCCGGACUCGGAAUGCCGCGAGACUUUGCGAGGGGCCUCCGUGUGUCAAAAGUAGGCCGCGGCCUAAGCCGUACCAAAAAAUAAACACCCGAAGGCCGGGGCGCCAAGUUCGUCCAGCGGAAAAAGGCCUCAAAAACGGGUGCGCUAUAGCCUUGGGGGGUGGGGCUGGCCAACUUCGUCCGCCGGACUCGGAAUGCUGGGAGACUUUGCGAGGGGCCUCCGUGUGCCAAAAAUAGGCCGUGGGCAUUGCCGUACCCAAAAAUAACCGCCCGUAGGCCGGGGCGCCAAGUUCGUCCAGCGGAAAAAGGCCACAAAAACGGGUGGGCUAUAGCCUUGGGGGGUGGGGCUGGCCAACUUCGUCCGCCGGACUCGGAAUGCCGCGAGACUUUGCGAGGGGCCUCCGUGUGUCAAAAGUAGGCCGCGGCCUAAGCCGUACCAAAAAAUAAACACCCAAAGGCCGGGGCGCCAAGUUCGUCCAGCGGAAAAAGGCCACAAAAACGGGUGGGCUAUAGCCUUGGGGGGUGGGGCUGGCCCACUUCGUCCGCCGGACUCAGAAUGCCGCGAGACUAUGCGAGGCGCCUUCGUGUGCCAAAAAUAGGGCGCGGGCCUAUCCGCAUCCAAAAAUAACCGCCCGAAGGCCGGGGCGCCAAGUUCGUCCAGCGGAAAAAGGCCACAAAAACGGGUGGGCUAUAACCUUGGGGGGUGGGGCUGGCCAACUUUGUCCGCCNNNNNNNNNNNNNNNNNNNNNNNNNNNNNNNNNNNNNNNNNNNNNNNNNNNNNNNNNNNNNNNNNNNNNNNNNNNNNNNNNNNNNNNNNNNNNNNNNNNNCUGGGGCGCCAAGUUCGUCCAGCGGAAAAAGGCCACAAAAACGGGUGGGCUAUAGCCUUGGGGGGUGGGGCUGGCCAACUUCGUCCGCCGGACUCGGAAUGCCACGAGACUAUGCGAGGGGCCUCCGUGUGCCAAAAAUAGGCCUUGGGCAAAGCCGCGCCCAAAAAUAACCGGCCGAAAGCCGGGGCGCCAAGUUCGUCCAGCGGAAAAAGGCCACAAAAACGGGUGGGCUAUAGCCUUGGGGGGUGGGGCUGGCCAACUUUGUCCGCCGGAUACGGAAAGCCGCGACACUUUGCGAGGCGCCUCCGUGUGCCAAAAAUAGGCCGCGGGCAAAGCCGCGCCCAAAAAUAACCGCCCGAAGGCCGGGGCGCCAAGUUCGUCCAGCGGAAAAAGGCCACAAAAACGGGUGGGCUAUAGCCUUGGGGGGUGGGGCUGGCCAACUUCGUCCGCCGGACUCGGAAUGCCGCGAGACUUUGCGAGGGGCCUCCGUAUGCCAAAAAUAGGCCGCGGGCAAAGCCGCGCCCAAAAAUAACCGCCCGAAGGCCGGGGCGCCAAGUUCGUCCAGCGGAAAAAGGCCACAAAAACGUGUGGGCUAUAGCCUUGGGGGGUGGGGCUGGCCAACUUCGUCCGCCGGACUCGGAAUGCCGCGAGACUUUGCGAGGGGCCUCCGUGUGCCAAAAAUAGGGCGCGGUUAUAGCCGCGCCAAAAAAUAACCACCCGAAAGCCGGGGCGCCAAGUUCGUCCAGCGGAAAAAGGCCACAAAAACGGGUGGGCAAUAGCCUUGGGGGGUGGGGCUGGCCAACUUCGUCCGCCGGACUCGGAAUGCCGCGAGACUUUGCGAGGCGCCUCCGUGUGCCAAAAAUAAGUCGCGGGCCGAGCCGCGUCUAAAAAUAACCGCCCGAAGGCUGGGGCGCCAAGUUCGUCCAGCGGAAAAAGGCCACAAAAACGGGUGGGCUAUAGCCUUGGGGGGUGGGGCCGGCCAACUUCGUCCGCAGGACUCGGAAUGCCGCGAGACUAUGCGAGGGGCCUCCGUGUGCCAAAAAUAGGCCUCGGGCAAAGCCACGCCCAAAAAUAACCGCCCGAAGGCCGGGGCGCCAAGUUCGUCCAGCGGAAAAAGGCCACAAAAACGGGUGGGCUAUAGCCUUGGGGGGUGGGGCUGGCCAACUUUGUCCGCCGGAUACGGAAAGCCGCGACACUUUGCGAGGCGCCUCCGUGUGCCAAAAAUAGGCCGCGGGCAAAGCCGCGCCCAAAAAUAACCGCCCGAAGGCCGGGGCGCCAAGUUCGUCCAGCGGAAAAAGGCCACAAAAACGGGUGGGCUAUAGCCUUGGGGGGUGGGGCUGGCCAACUUCGUCCGCCGGACUCGGAAUGCCGCGAGACUUUGCGAGGGGCCUCCGUGUGCCAAAAAUAGGUCGCGGUUAUAGCCGCGCCAAAAAAUAACCGCCCGAAGGCCGGGGCGCCAAGUUCGUCCAGCGGAAAAAGGCCACAAAAACGGGUGGGCUAUAGCCUUGGGGGGUGGGGCUGGCCAACUUCGUCCGCCGGACUCGGAAUGCCGCGAGACUUUGCGAGGCGCCUCCGUGUGCCAAAAAUAAGUCGCGGGCCGAGCCGCGUCUAAAAAUAACCGCCCGAAGGCUGGGGCGCCAAGUUCGUCCAGCGGAAAAAGGCCACAAAAACGGGUGGGCUAUAGCCUUGGGGGGUGGGGCUGGCCAACUUCGUCCGCCGGACUCGGAAUGCCACGAGACUAUGCGAGGGGCCUCCGUGUGCCAAAAAUAGGCCUUGGGCAAAGCCGCGCCCAAAAAUAACCGGCCGAAAGCCGGGGCGCCAAGUUCGUCCAGCGGAAAAAGGCCACAAAAACGGGUGGGCUAUAGCCUUGGGGGGUGGGGCUGGCCAACUUUGUCCGCCGGAUUCGGAAAGCCGCGACACUUUGCGAGGGGCCUCCGUGUGCCAAAAAUAGGCCGCGGGCAAAGCUGCGCCCAAAAAUAACCGCCCGAAGGCCGGGGCGCCAAGUUCGUCCAGCGGAAAAAGGCCGCAAAAACGGGUGGGCUAUAGCCUUGGGGGGUGGGGAUGGCCAACUUUGUCCGCCGGACUCGGAAUGCCGCGAGACUUUGCGAGGGGCCUCCGUGUGCCAAAAAUAGGCCGCGGGCAAAGCCGCGCCCAAAAAUAACCGCCCGAAGGCCGGGGCGCCAAGUUCAUCCAGCAGAAAAAGGCCACAAAAACGGGUGGGCUAUAGCCUUGGGGGGUGGGGCUGGCCAACUUCGUCCGCCGGACUCGGAAUGCCGCGAGACUUUGCGAGGGGCCUCCGUGUGCCAAAAAUAGGGCGCGGUCAUAGCCGCGCCAAAAAAUAACCACCCGAAAGCCAGGGCGCCAAGUUCGUCCAGCGGAAAAAGGCCACAAAAACGGGUGGGCAAUAGCCUUGGGGGGUGGGGCUGGCCAACUUCGUCCGCCGGACUCGGAAUGCCGCGAGACUUUGCGAGGCGCCUCCGUGUGCCAAAAAUAAGUCGCGGGCUGAGCCGCGUCUAAAAAUAACCGCCCGAAGGCUGGGGCGCCAAGUUCGUCCAGCGGAAAAAGGCCACAAAAACGGGUGGGCUAUAGCCUUGGGGGGUGGGGCUGGCCAACUUCGUCCGCCGGACUCGGAAUGCCGCGAGACUUUGCGAGGGGCCUCCGUGUGCCAAAAAUAGGCCGCGGGCAUAGCCGCACCCAAAAAUAACCGCCCGAAGGCCCGGGCGCCAAGUUCGUCCAGGCGGACGAAAGGCCACGAAAAACGGGUGGGCUAUAGACUUGGGGGGUGGGGCUGGCCAACUUCGUCCGCCUUACUCGGAAUGCCGCGAGACUUUGCGAGGGUCCUCUGUGUGCCAAAAAUAGGCCGC
RNAcentral lists this long non-coding RNA (4064 nucleotides) under Citrus x clementina. RNAcentral describes it as "Citrus clementina (C. clementina) long non-coding RNA (CCLE_LNC006141)". Lineage: Eukaryota; Viridiplantae; Streptophyta; Magnoliopsida; Sapindales; Rutaceae. The record is from RNAcentral.